Molecule: non-coding RNA, 273 nt
Organism: Vicia faba (fava bean)
Lineage: Eukaryota; Viridiplantae; Streptophyta; Magnoliopsida; Fabales; Fabaceae
Source: the annotation of a GenBank genome assembly
AUGCCUGACUGUUAUGGUCGGUAUCACAAGCUGAUUUGUCAUGUAAUUUUGAAUGAUAAUAGAGGCAACAUUGACAUCAGUUUCUACGCCAAGUUUUUCACUUUUAUCAAGCCAAGUAACUACUAUUUGCGGAAACUAUAUUUUAUCUCUGUUGUUGGUUUAGGAAUACGACCCCAUAACAUCCAAUCAAUUGCUUUGGGUAAGGGAAAUAUAUCGAAAACGAAGGAACUACAAAGCUGCAUUAAAAUAAAGGCAAUGAAAGGAUUUGUUUAA